Peromyscus californicus insignis is the source of this 4414-nucleotide long non-coding RNA. RefSeq lists it as uncharacterized. The record is from RefSeq and is a predicted model, not a curated record. NCBI's taxonomy places the organism in Eukaryota, Metazoa, Chordata, Mammalia, Rodentia, Cricetidae. The transcript has 2 exons.
UUAAAACAUUUAAAACCUUACUGUGGAAAAUGUCAGUACGUACAAAAAUGAAGAACAGUUGGAUGAACCAGCCUGUCCCAGCUGGUAGCUUCCACCCCCCAUUCUGCUUUGAGGCAACAGAUCCCUCCCAGCUGCAUGCGCCUUGCUCACCACGAAGGUUCUAGGUUGACUUGUCCAGUGCUGGCUACCCUUCCCAGAAUGUCAACUCAGUAAGGGUUGGGGAGGAUGUUUAAUUAGUAUGUUUUGUUUGUGGCUGUGUAUCUAAUUCCUAGAACAAUGUCUGCCACAUCAUGGAUAUUUAGUUAAGUUGUUAUGGGGUACCCACCGGAGACGACCUCUCAGAUACAGCCUAUAACCAACUGAAAGUCUUUAUUCCAUCCAGCCAACUGAGACUACACUCAGGAAUUCAGGACGCAAGUAUAGCACCAAGCCUUUGGGGUAAGGGGGUUUUUCAAAGACAAAACCACAUCCUGGUAUCUUGCUUGGCAGCUGCAGAGGAAGGUUUUAUGCAAACAAGCAGUUUAACAGAAGUUAAGACAAGCAGCGGAGGAGGGGGCAGGUUGCAGAAGCAGGCAGUAUAACAGAAGGUACGGUAGCCUAGCUGGCCAUCUUGACCUCGGGUUCUGAGGAUAGAAUUGGGUGAUUUUCCAUUUGAUUCUCCCUCGAAGAGAUGAAAUUCUAGUUAAACCUAACGUGGCCUCAGCAAGAAUCCAAGAUGGAGGAACCUCGCACUGUCUUGCCCUGUCACAGGGGACUGAGUUGAAUGAGAACCAAAGGUUAAACUUUGUCCUUAAUACCAAAAGAAGCUAUAUUUCCAUACCUGAGGAGUGCUUCCCACCUGCUGUUCCAGAGAGGGCAGGGUGCUAAAAAUAUUAAAUUGGAAAGAUUGGAGGAAAACUGGGGAAAAGGAAAUUGGAAAUAACCAUUACCAGUAACCCCUGGGAGAAACUGUAAUAUAAGGGAACGGAAAAUGGGAUGUCUGAGGUCAAGAAGGCAUUUUCUUUCAGCUGGAAGAGGUGGCAGUGGGUCAGUAUGCCAUCGGAAAUAAGAAAAGGUGAGGGAGGGCCUGGCUGGUGAGAUGUUUCAGUAGCUGAAGGUGCUUGCUGCCAAGCCUGAUGACCUUGAGUUCAGUCUGUGAACCCCACGUGGUGGGAGAGAAUUGACUCAUACAAGAUGUCCACUGCACACCUGUGUGCACAUAUACCCAAGUCAGUGUUAUAAUAAAAACUGUUCUAAAAGGAGAAAGCAAGCAUGACAUUAGAGACAUCAGUUCACGGUGUCCGUAAAGAGAUGGCGUGCUGGCCAGUUUUAUGUCAGCUAGACACGAGCUGGAGUCAUUUUCAAAGAGGGAGCCUCAGUUGAGAAAAAGCCCCCAAGGUGGUCAGUGAGUGGGCCUCCUAGAGGCCUGGUGGCCUGGAGGAGGAGGAGCAGGAAGGAGGCCUGCUGUGCUCCUGGGCCUCCUGACCCACCCGUGAGGGCCCCCAUCCCUGCCCCAGCACACACACACGCGCGCACACACACACACACACACACACACACACACACACACACACACACACACACGGAAGAGGAAGUUCCUAUUCUCUGGUGGUCCUUGCUCCUUGCCCAACCCGAAUGGGACUUCAAAGCCGGCAGAUGGGAAGGAGUCCAGCUAUGUUCUUCAAGGAGCCUUGGGUUUCUUUUAGACGGAGGACAGAGUGAUGAAUCCUAGACUCAGGAUUGGAGGGGUUUUCAAGUCCAGCUGGCGGGAACAACUACUCGGUUGGAUUUCCCUGCCUGUACCCCCCUCCCUACCCCACCGCCCAGCUCACGUCCACUUUCUGCUCACACACGGGCUGACCCUAGGCCUGCAGCCUUCUCUUGCUCUAGCCCCUCUGGAGUUCUGCAGCAUGAAUGUAACCUGGGAAGCUCUCCUCCCCGGAGCCCCACCCCUGCCUCUGUGCCCUCACCCCCGAUGGCCAUGGCCGCUGUUCCUCUGUUGGAGCCCCCUUGUGUCCACCAGCCUUCCAAGCAUGGCCUGGUCAAUGGUUGCCUCUUCCUGAGAAUUCCCCUUCUAGUCUGGGCCUGCCGGCCCCCUGCAGUUCCCUUUCACACAGGGGACAAGCUCUGGGGUCCCUUCCUGGAGGGGGCGUUCCUUCUCCUCACAUGGUGGCUGUACCUCUUCUUAAUGUCCCGCGGCCAGCUGCCAGACUCAUGGCUUCUGGCCCCCUUUCCGCUUCCCCGCUCGCCCAGUGACAGUCACUGAUUCACUGACUAAACAGAGGCCCCUGCCAGCCUGGGCAGCUUCUGUUUUCCCAGGAUGACGACGGAAGAGUCGCAGGAAUGGAGGCCGAGUGCGCUGUGGAGUAAGGCUGAACGAAAUCCCAGCAGGCCCCGGAGCUUACAUCCGAAGACCUGUGGAGUGGUGUGGGGCUGACCUGGGGACCCCAGAGCCGCAGCAGACUGCAAGGCUCAGGUCAUCUCCAGAAAGCAACCUAGAAGACCCCAGGCUUCCUGCCAGCUGCGGCCUUUUCCUGUGGAAACCCUAGAGGCCCUGGGCCCCAGAGCUGGAGCAUGGCCCUGAUCCUCCCGGAUAUGUUUACAGAAGUGCUCAGAAGUGCUCGCCAGCACGCCCCGUUUGGAAAUGUCUUAAGAUAGGAAACACAGUUGUCCCUGAUGAGCGCCUAGGUGACAGGGGAUGCUUGCAAAACAGAAUCAUUUCCUCCCAGGCUGCCAAGUGUGGGGGUCCUGCCCUGCCUCUGCACAUCCUGCAGGAGUGACUCAACUUGAGUUUCCCUCCCAGACUCUUAAGUGGUUUCCAUUCAGGAGGCCAGUGUCUGAAGGGGCUGCGUCUGCUAGCACAGCGGGGAGCCAGGCAGUAUGGCCAGCCGCCUCUUACUCCACAGCAACAUGGCUGCCUUCGGUGCCUCGAAAUCAGGCCCAGCUCAGCCGCGUCACAGUCACUCCGUUAACUGUGACAAUCCCUGACAGAAGCAUCUGGAGAAAGGAAAGGCCUGGCUUUGGCUCACAGUUUGGGACUGUCGUCCGUAGGGGUUGGGGAAGGCAUGGCGGCAGCAGCGUGAGGCCCCUGGAUAGAUUGCAUUUGUGGUCCAACUGAGAAGGAUGAGUGGAUACUGGCCCUCACCUCUCUCUGUCCUUUGUAUUCAGUCCAGGACCCCAGCCCAGGGAAUGGUGCUGCCCCCAGUGAAGGUGGGUUUUCCCACCCUGAUUAAUCAAGAUACUCUCAGACAUACCCAGAGGUUUGUCUCCUAGGUGACUCUAGAUCCUGUCAGAUUGACAAAUUAACCACUGCUUGGGGGAGGGGUACAUGCCAAAUGACCUUUUAACCAUUAUUUUAAAAAGAUUUUUAAAUUUUUAUGUGUAUAUGCAUGUGUGUCAAUGUGUGUGUACACGUGUGCGUGCACGUGUGCAUGCGCAUGCACGUGCGCCACAUGGGCAGGUACCUGUCAGGGCCAGAAGAGGGUGCUGGAUUCCCAGGAGCUGGGGUUUCAUGCUGCCCCGUGUGGGAGAUGAGAACUGAACUCGGGUCCUUCUGAAGCACAGCCUCUCUCAACUGCAAAGCCGUGGCUGCAGCCCUCAUUUUAACAGUCUUUAAGCAUGAGGUCCAGUGGCCGAGGUAUGUGCACGCUGCUGUGUGGCAUCCCCACCAUCCACCUCCAAAGCUUUGUCAUCUGCCCUGCUGACACCCUGUGCCCCUUGACCCUAAUCCUCCUAGCUGCUGGUGACCUUUAUGCUGCUUGCUGACUGUGAGGUUGCCUCAUCUCAUGGGGUCAUCCAGGCGUGACCUUUUGUGUCUCGCUCAUCUCACUCACCGUGUGGUGUUCAAGGUUGAUCUCUGUGGCAGCAUGGUGGGUGUCUCCCCUUCCUGCGGCUGAGUCAUAACCCUCUGGUGUGCACGCACACCACCUUCUGCCCAUCUGUUCCUCUGUCACUGGGGACACUUGGCUCGCUCCCUCCUUCUGGUUAUCAUUGCCUUGUGCAGCUGUGGAUACUGUUGGACCUUGUGAGGAGUUACUAAGGUUUUUUCCAUCAUUGUAAAGAAGGAGUUAUUUAGUGUGUCUGUGUGUCUGUAUGUCUGUCGGAAGAAACCUUGCAGGAGUCGAUGCUCUUUUUUUUUCACUGUAUGGGUCCUGAGGAUCAAACUCGGGUUGUCAGGUUUGACUGCAGGCACCUUUCCCCUGCUGUGGAAUAUUACUUUAACUAUGUAAUGGUGUGUUACGUUUGUUUGUAUUGCAGAAUAUUACUUUAACUGUGUAAAGGUGUGUUACAUUUCUUUAUGUUUUGGAAUAUGCAUUAACUAUGUAAAGGUGUGCUGUAUUUGUUACGGUGCAUUUGUUCAACGAGGCAAACGUGUGACAUUUGUUUAUGCUGCAUUUGUUUAACGAUUAAAGAUUGCGUUGCUUUGCCUGCCUAA